Molecule: ribosomal RNA, 1204 nt
Filed under: metagenome
Description: bacterial LSU rRNA
Rfam family: Bacterial large subunit ribosomal RNA
Source: RNAcentral
GGGAGAAGGUGUGCCGCUGGCGGUUAGUGACUUCGCGUCACGAAGCUGUCGGUGGUCGCAGUGAAAUGGCGGUUGUGACUGUUUACUAAAAACACAGGACUCUGCGAAGUCGUAAGACGACGUAUAGGGUCUGAUGCCUGCCCGGUGCUGGAAGGUUAAGGGGAUAUGUCAGCGCAAGCGAAGCAUUGAACCGAAGCCCCAGUAAACGGCGGCCGUAACGAUAACGGUCCUAAGGUAGCGAAAUUCCUUGUCGGGUAAGUUCCGACCUGCACGAGGGCAUAACAACAUCCGCACUGUCUCGACCAGGGACUCAGCGAAAUUACAUUGGGGGUGAAGAUGCCCUCUACCCGCGGAAAGACGGAAAGACCCCAUGAACCUUUACUGCAACUUGGCAGUGAUUUUCGGGUUGUUCUGCGUAGGAUAGGUGGGAGGCUUUGAAGCCGGGCUUCCGGGUUCGGCAGAGCCAACGUUGAAAUACCACCCUGAAUAAUCUGGAAAUCUAACCUGCGCCCAUGAUCUGGGCGAGGGACACUGCCUGGUGGGCAGUUUGACUGGGGCGGUCGCCUCCUAAAUUGUAACGGAGGCGUGCGACGGUUCCCUCAGGCUGAUUGGAAACCAGCCGUAGAGUGCAAACGCAUAAGGGAGCUUUACUGCGAGACUGACAAGUCGAACAGUUGCGAAAGCAGGUGUUAGUGAUCCGGUGGUACCACAUGGAAGGGCCAUCGCUCAUCGGAUAAAAGGUACUCUGGGGAUAACAGGCUGAUCGCGCCUGAGAGUUCACAUCGGCGGCGCGGUUUGGCACCUCGAUGUCGGCUCAUCGCAUCCUGGGGCUGGAGCAGGUCCCAAGGGUUUGGCUGUUCGCCAAUUAAAGCGGUACGCGAGCUGGGUUUAAAACGUCGUGAGACAGUUUGGUCCCUAUCUUCCGUGGGCGCAGGACACUUGAGAGGAGCUAUCCAUAGUACGAGAGGACCUGGAUGGACGAACCUCUGGUGCUCCGGUUGUCACGCCAGUGGCAUAGCCGGGUAGCCAUGUUCGGAACAGAUAACCGCUGAAGGCAUAUAAGCGGGAAGCUGGCCUCAAGACUAGGUGUCCCUGACGCAAGUCACUAAAGGCCCCUCGAAGACUACGAGGUUGAUAGGCUCGGUGUGGAAGCGCUGCGAGGCGUGGAGCUAACGAGUACUAAUAGGCCGUGCGACUUGACCUU